CUCAGCCCAACCCCUUCGAUUCCCCUUCGACCCACCUGUUCCCACGUGGUUCAGAAUCAUCUCGCCCCCCUCGAGGAUUUGGCCGCCCUGACUCGAGACGACGCCGCGCCGCCUCCUCCCCCAAGACGUCGCGCCGCCUCCUCCCCCAAGAUGCCGCGUCGCCUGACUCGACGCCGGCGAUCUCCUCAGGCCUACUGGAUUUCUCACCGGUGGUUAGUCAUCGCAGCCCCUCCCCCCUCCUCUCUAUGGCCGCCACCACGCGCACGCCCUGCGUCCGCCUCAUCCUCACCGGCGAGCACGCCAAGAACGGCGUCCCCUACCCCAGCUCCACAUGGACCCUAACCCUAGGCCUACCCAGCUAGCUUGCCAAGAAUGCCCGCCUCCUCUAUCCUAUAUGUUUGUUUGUGCUACCGGGCUCUCCCCUCCCCUUCCUCUCCAUGGCUGCCACCGCCCGCACGCCCUCCGUCCGCCUCGUCCUCACCGGCGAGGACGCCAAGAACGGCGUCCCCUACCCCAGCUCCACAUGGACCCUAACCCUAGGCCUACCCAGCUAGCUUGCCAAGAAUGCCCGCCUCCUCUAGCCUAUCUGUUUGUUUGUGCUACCGGGCUCUGUUCUGAUCCAGUGGCAAAACAGAUGUUGGCUGAUGCCCGCUGUUCUAUAAUGCCUUAUUUUCUAUACUGUUGUUCUGAUCUAGUGGCAAAACAGAUGCUAACUCUGUCAUGUGACUAUCUUCUAAUACAGUAUCUUUAACUCCUGGGAAGCUUUCUCAGCCUUCUUGAUUUUCCCGGUUCUUCUCAUUUAGCUUGUCGAAGAGCUCAAUUGACUGGAAAUAAUACAACCUUAUUUGAUUUGUACUAUAUAAUUUCCUAGCCCUGCUUUUGUGUUUCCAUUACUGGUUGAGGAGUCUUGUUCCUUUCAUGCAACAUUUGUGAAUAUCUCUUUUAUUGUAGGCAGCUUUAAUAUGUCUACUAAUAGGCAGCUUAAAUAUGUCUGCCAUGCUGAUAUGUUCUUUUUUGAUAGCCUGCCGCUCCGAUUCUUGUUGGGGUGCACGAAUUACCUCCGUAUUGGGAUCCAGUUGUCACGCCUAAUUUCGGUAACGUACACAAGCCUUUUGGCCUCUUGUAGUCUUAUUCUUAUUUUUUGCUUGUUUAUUCUAGUUUGAGGCUCUUGUAGCUCUUGUAGUCUUAAAUGCAGUUCAUAUUUGUUGCUUCCUAAUUCUAGUUUUAGUGCCGAGAUGAACUCCGAGAUUAUCGAUCGAAUUAGGUUGAACUGCGACAAUAAUAACUGUUUACUGUUUAAUGAUCUAAACGUCUUUAUAUUUCUUUGUGCGGCAUUAUUUGUUUUCUGCUACUCUGAAUCUGUGUUGAAUCAUUUUAAUAGUAGUGAAUUUUGAUGGUUAUAUGAUUUUGCCUUGUCUUGCCAAAAAAAGAGGAUACAAAUGAUGUGGAUCCGAGAAAACUACCCUUGACCGUUUGAUUCAAGGGUAUAUAUAUAUAUAUAUAUGUCAAUUCAUGAUCAGCUCAACUAGAUUAGCUCUCGCGGCUGAUUGCUUUGUGCAAGACGUACUAUAUAGCAGCGAUUGCUUUUUUUCCUUGUAAGAAGUAUUAAUAUAUGGUUGUUGGUCGCUUCUGUAGUUUGCAUCAUUUUCAUGGAAUAUUAUUGUCCUUUGUCCUACCAUCCUGUCAAGUUAAACUUGAAUAAUCAAGAGAGCGUGGCCUUUGGUCUUGUUCCAGCUUCUAACGAGUAAAAUGAAUUUGUACAUGGAAAAUUUCUUUGCUACUCCAGAGUGUGUACACUGAAAAUUUGAUACCAUUGUACACUGAAAAUCAAGACUACAAAUUUGCCUGCUUGAUCUUGCUCCUUGCUUGCUUGCUGUUGGAACAAAUCAGGAGUAGUAUCGAACUUCAACAAAAUUGUUGAUCUUGUGUACAAAUGCCAUUAAAUCAGGAGUAGGAUUUUCUGUAGCUCCAAUAUAAAUUCAGUAUUGCUGUAGCUUCUUGCAGUACCAAGAUACUGUCAGUAGCAAGUAUUUGGCUGUGCAGUGUUAUCUGUAUUGCUUGUAUCAGUAGUAUCAUCUGUAUUGUUUGGAGUACUCAUGUUUGCUUGCUGCGCACCUACAAAAAGAAAAUGAAGAAAAAAUUAAAUUAAUGUUGUUUGCUGGAAACUUUGCUUUAAUAUAUACAGCUUGUUUCUUGCUAGUAGUACAAUGCUCCUACUACAAGUACAAUACUCCUUGCUUGUUCUAUUCCUGAAACUUGCUGUACUAUAGGCCUACUUAUGUUCCAGAAGGCACUCUAAUGUUCAUCUAGCAAAACUUAUAAUUAUGAGUUAUUCUGAAGGCACUCUAAUAUUCAUCUCUUUUUGUUUCAUAAGGUUCUCAAGCACCAGAAGAAGCAACAAUAAACAAGCUGGAGGGAUAACUUUCUCUCAGAUUCUCAAAGAUAGAUGAUCAUGACACCAAAAGAUGGAUAUAUCUGUAUGCGAAAUUAUAACUGAUCUUGAGCUAUUCCAGAAGUACUUGUGUUGUGUUAUAUUUGCUGCAAAAUUAUGUUGGGGCUGUCAUGAACUGUUGUUGCUGCGAAAGAUCAUGUUGUCAUGAUAAAUUAUGAUUCCUGGGAUUUGGGAUUCGAAGUCAUGUUGUUAUGAUAAAUUAUGAUGUUGUUGUGAUGAUAUAUUGAUAAUGCUGCUAAAUUAUUCCCCUGUAGCAGCUUUUCUCAUUUUUAUUAGGUGGCCUUUACAAUUCUGUAGCAAGGAUAUAAGGGAGUUAGUUACAUUGUAAAGAUUGAAUUUUUAGAUGUUCUACACCAUGUUAUGUCAAUCUGACAAACCCUGCCUACCAAACAGAAAUUUUAAACGAAGAGGAUUGGGGAUGGAGGGGUUUUGGGGAUUCAAGGGGUUUUGAGGGGAUUGGGUGGAAGGGAGGGAUUCACCAAAUCCUCCCAAAUCCCCGCCUCCGAAAUCCUCCCAAAUCCCUUUGUGCCAAACAAGGCCUAAGGGUUGUUGCUAUUUGUGGUGAUUAUGCAUGACCCAAGCU
This 3035-nucleotide long non-coding RNA is filed under the name Triticum aestivum (bread wheat). RNAcentral's name for it is "long non-coding RNA (TAES_LNC003240)". Lineage: Eukaryota; Viridiplantae; Streptophyta; Magnoliopsida; Poales; Poaceae. The record is from RNAcentral.